This 253-nucleotide ribosomal RNA is filed under the name uncultured bacterium. RNAcentral describes it as "partial 16S ribosomal RNA". It matches the Rfam family "Bacterial small subunit ribosomal RNA", at positions 524 to 776 of the family's 1533-position model. The record is from RNAcentral.
UACGUAGGUGGCAAGCGUUGUCCGGAUUUACUGGGCGUAAAGAGCGCGCAGGCGGUCGUUCAAGUCGCGUGUGAAAGCCCCCGGCUCAACUGGGGAGGGUCACGCGAUACUGAUCGACUCGAAGGCAGGAGAGGGUAGUGGAAUUCCCGGUGUAGUGGUGAAAUGCGUAGAUAUCGGGAGGAACACCAGUGGCGAAGGCGGCAUCCUGGACCGACAUUGACGCUGAGGAGCGAAAGCUAGGGGAGCAAACGGG